GAUGAACGCUGGCGGCGUGCUUAAUACAUGCAAGUCGAGCGAACGGACGAGACACUUGCUUCUCUGAUGUUAGCGGCGGACGGGUGAGUAACACGUGGAUACCCUACCUAUAAGACUGGGAUAACUUCGGGAAACCGGAGCUAAUACCGGAUAAUCUUCUGCUCCGCAUGGUUCAAAAGUGACAGUCGGUCUUGCUGUCACUUAUAGAUGGAUCCCCGCGGUAUUAGCUAGUUGGUACGGUACCGGCUUACCAAGGCAAGGAUGCAUAGCCGACCUGAGAGGGGUGUCGGCCACCGUAGAAGCGAGACACGGGCCAAGGGCCUACGGAAGGCAGCAGAAGGCAAUAUCCCGCAAAGGGCGAAAGCCUGACGGAGCAAAGCCGCGAGGGUGGCAGAGGUCUUCGGAGCGUGAAGCUGGGGUACUGGGGAAGAACAGAUGUGUAAGUAACUGUGGACAUCGUGACGUUACCACCGAAGAGAGCAACGGCUAACUACGUG
This 497-nucleotide ribosomal RNA is filed under the name uncultured bacterium. RNAcentral describes it as "partial 16S ribosomal RNA". It matches the Rfam family "Bacterial small subunit ribosomal RNA", at positions 28 to 507 of the family's 1533-position model. The record is from RNAcentral.